RNAcentral lists this ribosomal RNA (207 nucleotides) under uncultured bacterium. RNAcentral describes it as "partial 16S ribosomal RNA". It matches the Rfam family "Bacterial small subunit ribosomal RNA", at positions 1296 to 1500 of the family's 1533-position model. The record is from RNAcentral.
GAUUGCAGGCUGCAACCCGCCUGCAUGAAGUCGGAAUUGCUAGUAAUCGCGGAUCAGCAUGCCGCGGUGAAUACGUUCCCGGGUCUUGUACACACCGCCCGUCACACCAUGGGAGUUGGGAAUGCCCGAAGGCCGGUGACCUAAACCGAAAGGGAGGAGCCGUCGAAGGCAGGCUUGAUAACUGGGGUGAAGUCGUAACAAGGUAAC